Long non-coding RNA from Pipra filicauda (Wire-tailed manakin), 355 nucleotides. RefSeq lists it as uncharacterized. The record is from RefSeq and is a predicted model, not a curated record. The transcript has 2 exons. NCBI's taxonomy places the organism in Eukaryota, Metazoa, Chordata, Aves, Passeriformes, Pipridae.
UUUGAGCCAGGAGAAGAGGGUUGCAGACAAUUACUGCCUUGGAGGCUCAGAUGUUCUAAAGUAAAAAGGGGGAAAACUCAUAAUUUACCUGUACUGACCACUUCUGCAAUAAAAAAAGUAAUUUGCUCUAAAUUAAGAUCUUGCCAAAACUGAAAAGUUAGACAGGGCACUAGUGAAUUGAAUGUGCAAGAGAGACAAAGUGUCUAACAAAGUAAAAGCUGCUGCAUGACAAGGAUUGCCUCUGCUCUCACAAGGAACUCGACUAGCAAGGAAAUCUCCUUGUGGAGUACAAACACGAGCAAACCUAUGACAGCAAAUGAGGCAACGGGAAACCACAGAAAUAAAGAUGUAGAAA